RNAcentral lists this long non-coding RNA (2334 nucleotides) under Equus caballus (horse). RNAcentral's name for it is "lncRNA (ENSECAG00000054108.1)". Lineage: Eukaryota; Metazoa; Chordata; Mammalia; Perissodactyla; Equidae. The record is from RNAcentral.
GGGAGGUUGAGGUGGAGAGAUGACAAUUCUGUGAAGUGACUUACACAGCAUUAUAAAAAGAAAAGUCCCCUGGCUGAUGACUGGACAAGGAAACUAUGGAUAAAGCGCACUUCCAGGGUCUCAGCCCUCCUGCGCCCCGCGCGCUCCUGUAGAAAUGCCCCGGCACAUUUCAGUGUCAGGCGUGGAGAACUUCUGCACAGAACGUUAUCUUCCUUGGUACCAGAGGUUACACUCUAGGUGAAUGUGACAACUUUGGGCGAAGACAAGAGAAAAACCCAAGUGCCGACUUUCUAGAAGAAAAGUCCAGACUGGCCCUGAGCUAACAUCCGUGCCCAUCUUCCUCCAAUCCACAUGUGGGACGCCCACCACAGCACGGCUUGCCAAGCAGUGCCAUGUCUGCACCCGGGAUGCAAACCAACGAAUCCCAGGCCACAGAAGUGGAACAUGCGAACCUAACUGCUGCACCACCGGGCCGGCCCCUCAUAGCACUGUUUUAAGAUUAAAGGGUUAUUAUGUAUAAAAGGACUUACAACAGUGAUGACAAAUAGUAGGUACUAUAUAUGUGUUAGCUAUUAUUAUUAUCACUAUCCAAAAAUGAUGGUAGAUGAAAACAUCUGUUCCAACUUUUGAGACAUAAUAAACCAUGGUAAUCUGUACCAAAAUGAACGCUACCUUCAAGACUUUAUUUUGCAGGUCCCUCUUCCUUGUUCCUGCGGGACUGUGGGUCACUGCACAAUACUGAUGGGUAGAAAUGCAAGGAUCAGGGGCCUCAGGGACAUAAUUUCAGCCUCUACAAUGUACCAGCUACUAGAAGGGACGAUUCUAAAUAUCUGGUCUCUGUGAACUGAAACUUUAGCAGUAAUUGGACACUAUGAGUCUUGAGAGAGAAGAAUCUUUCUGUUAUUUGUUUGAAUCCUGGACAGAGUAGAAGAGAAUCAACCUUGGGAUGAGAAAACUGGAGUUGCCUUUCUAUUCCUCAUUUUUUGUUGCUGGGGGUUUUAGAGCAGGUGUUAGCCGGUUGCAAUGACCUGCCUCGCCCCCGUGGGUCUUUGGUGCUAUAUGCAGAUCCUGGUUAUUCUUGAACACCCAGUCCAUGCUCCACGCACUGAACAAAGCCAUGCCUCGCUCUCCCAGUUAGCCCACACAGGUCUUGAAAAAUUCUUUUUAAAAAAAAAUUACUUUAUUGAGGUCAUAUUGGCUUAUAACGUGAAAUUUCACAUGUACAUUAUUAUAUGUCAGUUUCUGUAUAGACUGCAUUGUGCUCACCACCAAUAGUCUAGUUUUUAACCACCGCCAUACACAUGUGCCCCUUUACCCCUUUCACUGCUCCCCCCCAACCACCAAUCUGUUCUCUUUAUCUAUGUGUUUGAAUAAACUGAAAUUCUUACACCCAUUGACAAUCAUAUUCUAUUUUAUACUGCUUGUUGCCUUAUGUUAUCAUCUAUAGAACUAUCUAGAGAACAUUCAUUCACUUAGUGAACAACAACAAUUUAUUGGGGGCCUUCACAGGCCUUGAUGAUGAAAAGUUAGGGUGGUUGUUUUAUAUAUAUAUAUAUAUAUAUUUAUUUAUUGUUUUAUAUAUUAUAUACACAUAUAAUACAUAUAUAGUGUAUAUAUAAACCUCUGGUACCUUUUAAAUCUCUAGUAGGAACCAAAGCUUUCUCUUUGACAGCCACCUCUCUGAAUUAUUCCCACCGGCCUCCUUAGAGAAAGGGACGAUGUAGGAUACACUGCGAUCUGCAGUUUUGGGACGUCACCCAUUUCACCUAGUACAGUGGACAUGAGUGACACUCAUGGUUGGUCUCAACAAAUAUUUUCUGAUGGGCCCACGGAGAAUGGCAUGGGAAAUAUGCUCUAAGAUGUAAAAGGAAUGGGAACUCUGGAUCCUCUUUCUUAUUCAACAGAACAUUUACUGAGCAUGGAGUGUGGGCUAGAGACUGUACUGGUUGUUAGGGACACAGAGUGAUGCCUAGCCUUCAGAGGGACACCGACCAGUCAACAAGCGACAAAAUGAGUCACCAGCCCAGGUGGUCAGGAGGUUACCGGGACCCAGGAGAGGAGCCUUUGGUCCUGCCUGGUGAUGGUGAGGGAAAGAAUGAGGUGUGGGCAGAGUGGGCCGGCUGGGGUAGGGUUGCUGUAUCUCAGAGAGAGGUUGAGCCCAGGCCGGAGAGCAAAGAGGACCCGGUUGUGACUCUCAGACUGGUCUGUUUUCCUUGAUGUCUUUUAGACCAGAGCUGAUCAGGGCUGCUGACUUCUCUCUGAGUUCGUGCACUUGAGACUGGGCCUCCCGGGUUGAGGACGGGGCAGGCUGCUAGCUACCUCUGUGAAUUCUGU